AAGUCGUAACAAGGUUUCCGUAGGUGAACCUGCGGAAGGAUCAUUACCAGAGUGAUUGGUCGAGCGAGAGCCGGCCGGUUACCCGUCCUCAUGUCACGUGUGGGCCCUGCAUGCGGGGCGCGCCUGUCCUCGGUCCGUCGAAAGGCGGGGUGAGGCUGGUGCGUUCCGGGUGUGUGGUCCGUCUUCAUUUCCGUCGAGGUGGUACGCGUCCGUUGCGGAGAGAUCCCGACGGCGACGUGCCCGCGGCGGGCCCAAACUUUUGCAACUCUGAAGCAAGCUGAAGUCUGAAUUUUGUCAAUAGAAAAACCAAAGCAAAACUUUCAACAACGGAUCUCUUGGCUCUG
Molecule: unclassified non-coding RNA, 344 nt
Filed under: fungal sp.
Lineage: Eukaryota; Fungi
Description: partial internal transcribed spacer region
Rfam family: Eukaryotic small subunit ribosomal RNA (bases 1-46)
Source: RNAcentral